RNAcentral lists this ribosomal RNA (253 nucleotides) under uncultured bacterium. RNAcentral's name for it is "partial 16S ribosomal RNA". It matches the Rfam family "Bacterial small subunit ribosomal RNA", at positions 524 to 776 of the family's 1533-position model. The record is from RNAcentral.
UACGUAGGGUGCAAGCGUUAAUCGGAAUUACUGGGCGUAAAGCGUGCGCAGGCGGCUUUGCAAGACAGAUGUGAAAUCCCCGGGCUCAACCUGGGAACUGCAUGGGAAACUGGCAGGCUUGAGUGUGGCAGAGGAGGGUGGAAUUCCGCGUGUAGCAGUGAAAUGCGUAGAGAUGCGGAGGAACACCGAUGGCGAAGGCAGCCCUCUGGGCCAACACUGACGCUCAGGCACGAAAGCGUGGGGAGCAAACAGG